RNAcentral lists this ribosomal RNA (495 nucleotides) under uncultured bacterium. Its description in RNAcentral is "partial 16S ribosomal RNA". It matches the Rfam family "Bacterial small subunit ribosomal RNA", at positions 28 to 507 of the family's 1533-position model. The record is from RNAcentral.
GAUGAACGCUGGCGGCGUGCCUAAUACAUGCAAGUAGAACGCUGAAGGAGGAGCUUGCUCUUCUGGAUGAGUUGCGAACGGGUGAGUAACGCGUAGGUAACCUGCCUGGUAGCGGGGGAUAACUAUUGGAAACGAUAGCUAAUACCGCAUGACAACAGUUAUUGCAUGAUAACUGUUUAAAAGGGGCAACUGCUCCACUACCAGAUGGACCUGCGUUGUAUUAGCUAGUUGGUGAGGUAACGGCUCACCAAGGCGACGAUACAUAGCCGACCUGAGAGGGUGAUCGGCCCAACUGGGACUGAGACACGGCCCAGACUCCUACGGGAGGCAGCAGUAGGGAAUCUUCGGCAAUGGACGGAAGUCUGACCGAGCAACGCCGCGUGAGUGAAGAAGGUUUUCGGAUCGUAAAGCUCUGUUGUAAGAGAAGAACGAGUGUGAGAGUGGAAAGUUCACACUGUGACGGUAUCUUACCAGAAAGGGACGGCUAACUACGUG